Molecule: ribosomal RNA, 1533 nt
Filed under: uncultured delta proteobacterium
Lineage: Bacteria; Deltaproteobacteria
Description: bacterial SSU rRNA
Rfam family: Bacterial small subunit ribosomal RNA
Source: RNAcentral
GAGUUUGAUCCUGGCUCACAGCACGAACGUUGGGGCGGCUUAACACAUGCAAGUCGAACGAGAAAGUUUCCUUCGGGAAGCGAGUAAAGUGGCGCACGGGUGAGUAACACGUAGAUAAUCUGUCCAGGUGUUCGGGAUAGCCCUUCGAAAGGGGGAUUAAUACCGAAUUCGUUAGUCUUUCAUAAGUGAGAUUAAGAAAGGUGGCCUCUAUUUAUAAGCUAUCGCAUUUGGAGGAGUCUGCGUACCAUUAGUUUGUUGGUGGGGUAAUGGCCUACCAAGACUUCGAUGGUUAGCGGGGUCUGAGAGGAUGAUCCGUCACACUGGCACUGAAACACGGGCCAGACUCCUACGGGAGGCAGCAGUGAGGAAUAUUGCGCAAUGGGGGAAACCCUGACGCAGCGACGCCGCGUGGGUGAGGAAGGCUUUCGGGUCGUAAAGCCCUGUCAGAAGGGAAGAAGUGUGUAUAGGUUAAUAUCUUAUACAUUUGACGGUACCUUCAAAGGAAGCACCGGCUAACUCCGUGCCAGCAGCCGCGGUAAUACGGAGGGUGCAAACGUUGUUCGGAAUCACUGGGCGUAAAGGGCGCGCAGGCGGUUUGAUUAGUCAGAUGUGAAAAGCCCCACGGCUUAACCGUGGAAGUGCAUUUGAAACUGUCAGACUUGAGUACCAGAGGGGGUAGUGGAAUUCCCGGUGUAGAGGUGAAAUUCGUAGAUAUCGGGAGGAAUACCGGUGGCGAAAGGCGACUACCUGGCUGGAUACUGACGCUGAGGCGCGAAAGCGUGGGGAGCAAACAGGAUUAAGAUACCCUGGUAGUCCACGCCGUAAACGAUGUCAACUAAGGUGUAGGGGGUGUUGAUCCCCUCUGUGCCGGAGCUAACGCAUUAAGUUGACCGCCUGGGGAGUACGGUCGCAAGAAUUAAAACUCAAAGGAAUUUGACGGGGGCCCGCACAAGCGGUGGAGUAUGUGGUUUAAUUCGAUGCAACGCGAAGAACCUUACCUGGUCUUGACAUCCCGGAGAUCUCCUGGAAACAGGAGAGUGCUUUCAUUAGAGAGAAUCCGGUGACAGGUGCUGCAUGGCUGUCGCCAGCUCGUGUCGUGAGAUGUUGGGUUAAGUUCCCGCAACGAGCGCAACCCUCGCCAUUAGUUGCCAUCAUCUAGUUGGGCACUCUAAUGGGACUGCCGGUGUCAAACCGGAGGAAGGUGGGGAUGACGUCAAGUCCUCAUGGCCCUUAUGACCAGGGCUACACACGUACUACAAUGGCCGAAACAAAGGGCAGCCACAGAGCGAUCUGGAGCUAAUCCCGUAAAUUCGGUCUCAGUCCGGAUUGGAGUCUGCAACUCGACUCCACGAAGUUGGAAUCGCUAGUAAUCGUGGAUCAGCAUGCCACGGUGAAUACGUUCCCGGGCCUUGUACACACCGCCCGUCACACCACGGGAAGUCGGUUGUACCAGAAGUAGUUGAGCGAACCCUUCGGGGAAGCGAGGCUACCAAGAGAUGGCUGGUAACUGGGUGAAGUCGUAACAAGGUAACC